CUUCACUUCAUUCAAGGGCAGCCCCUGAAUCACGUAAAUGUAGCUUCUUCUUAUAGUCCUGAAUUCCAUCACCGUUUGUCUACAUUUUGCCAGUGGACCAUUUCAGAGGAUACCAACUGAGGAAUUCAAGAAUGAAGACCUCUGCUUAUAAAGUACUGGUGGGACUUCUACUCCUUGAGGCAGUUCUUGCUGCUCCUGCAAGGAAUGAGGAGAGAAUAGAAAAGCUGAAACGAAUACAGAUAUUACCUGAUGAUCACUUUGAAGAUCUUGACUAUGUGAAUCAGGAAGCAAGUAUCAUAUAUGACUAUGAAGAAAGGCAGACCAUUAGCGAACCAGAGACCCAGUGGCUCUCUUUACAUCCUG
Molecule: long non-coding RNA, 363 nt
Organism: Pristis pectinata (smalltooth sawfish)
Lineage: Eukaryota; Metazoa; Chordata; Chondrichthyes; Rhinopristiformes; Pristidae
Exons: 3
Source: RefSeq, a predicted model, not a curated record